CCCACGUUCAUUAAUAAUUCGAAAAAAAAUCCUCGCAUUAAUCCGCCGCAAAUCGCAGAAGCCCCGAAGACCCCCGCACAUCUCCGCCGGCGAAACCCUAGCGGCGGCCGGCGAUGGGGGAGUACGCGGCGGCCAAGACGUCGGUGUGGUGGGACAUCGAGAACUGCGCCGUCCCGCGCAGCUGCGACCCCCAGCUCAUCGUCCAGAACAUGAGCUCCGCCCUCGCCACCGCCGGCUACCGCGGCCCCAUCUCCGUCUCCGCCUACGGGGACACCCACCAAAUCGCCCACAACGUCCAGCACGCCCUCUCCAGCACCGGCGUCUCCCUCCACCACGUCCCCGCCGGCAUUAAAGAUGCAAGUGAUAAGAAGAUCUUGGUUGACAUGCUGUUCUGGGCUAUUGACAAUCCUCCACCAGCAAAUUAUCUGCUUAUCUCUGGUGACCGGGACUUCUCUCAUGCCAUUCAUAAGCUUAAAAUGAGGCGAUACAAUAUUUUAUUGGCACAACCUCCAAACGUGUCUCAAACACUUACUGCUGCAGCAAAGAGUGUUUGGCUCUGGAAAAGCCUUGUGGCUGGAGAACCACCAUUAGAACAGUCACCAUACAUAAGCAGCACAUCUUGUGGCAAUAAGGAUGAUUUGGCUACAUCAAGGAACAUAGUUUCUAGUUCUUUGGAUGUGACUCAAGAUGCCAACCCUGAAGUGCAGAAUAUUUUGUAUGAUCGUCAAAGCGGUUCUAAUGGCAUGGCAGAUAAGAAAUGUGAAGUUAAGCGACCUCGAGAAAUGGAGACAGACAAUGUGUCCAAACCAGCAAGCAAAAAGCAGCUGAAGAAGAUGAUUGGGCUGGCAAAUACCAGCACUAAGCAAACUGCUUUCAAGAAACCAACGCAAGGGCAACUAAAAGCAGUCAAGGGGCAGGGCUUGAUCUGCUAUAAGUGUGGUGAUGGGCACCGUGCUGCAGAGUGCACCUUUAGUGGCGACUGCCACGGUUGUGGCCGACAGGGCCACAAGGAUCGAGUGUGCAAAGCGAAUCCUAACAGCGUUGUCAAGUGGCAGCCGGCACAUGCACAAGACUUAGUCACGCCCUCACCAGGGUCUGUCUCCCGGCAGGCGACCCCUCAUGUGCCUUCUCCACCUCCAGCUUCCCCUGUCGCGGCUGCGCCGCCACAGACAACUGCUGAAACUCCUUCUGGCCCAACUUCGACACCACCACCGGAGUGCUUGCAGGAGACUCCUGCCAUGCCGACAGCUGUGUCAUUGGGUAAACCAGACGUGGUGACGCAACCGACAUCUUCAGCCCCUCAUCCUCCUACGGCUGUUCUAGCUCACCGGCCAAUGGCAGGACCAGGACAGUAUCAUCAAGUGGGUGCUUCUCGGCCGUUUCCAGCUUGGACACCACCACCAUGGUGCUUCUUGCAGGCGACUCCUGCUGUGCUAAGUCCACCUCCGGCUCCUGUGCCGCCACAUACGGGUGAUGGAAAAUUUUCUGCCCCAGCUCAGUCUGGAGUCUACGCCAUGUCAACAGCUGUGUCAUUGGGUAAACCAGACGUGAUGACGCAACGGGCAUCUUCAGCCCCUCAUCCUCCUACGGCAUUUCUAGCAGCUCACCGAUCAGUCACAGGACAGUAUCAUCAAGUGGGUGCUUCUCAGCUGCAACCGGCAUCUUCAGCCCCUCGUCCUCCUACGGCAGUUCUAGCUCACCAACCUGUCGCAGGACAGUAUCAUCAAGUGGGUGCUUCUCAGCUGCACCUGGCAUCUUCAGCCCCUCAUCCUCCUACGGCAGUUCUAGCUCACCAAUCAGUCGCAGGACAGUACCAUCAAGUGGGUGCUUCUCAGCUGCAUCCAGCUUGGACAUUUCCUCCGGGGUACUUCUGGCAGGCAAUGCAGCUUCUCCUGCAGCAGCGCCGCUCGUGACUUCCGUGCCGCCCUGGCGUUGCAGCUUGUCCUGCACCAGCUCACUCCAGAGUCUACCCCAUGCUCUUCCCCUUUGGCAGGCCAUGCUGACAAAGUGACAGGUAUACUCCUAUUGGAUUCUUUGUAUGCCCUUCUCUUCAACCGCCCGAGAGGAGGAAGAGAGGAAGGAGGGCUAUGAUGAAGAAGAGGUGGAGGAGGUUUUCACUAGCUUUUCUAGUAGGAGUGUUAGAGGCAAGUUGGGUUGGAGCUGCUACAGCUGCACCUUGCACUCUGGUUGAGGCAGGUACAUGCAUAUUGGUAGUCAAUGGAUGCACGUCACCAUUGAUACCAUUGGAUGUUUGUGCACCUAGUCCCAACACCUAGCCUGCUCUGAUGGCAGAAGCAAGGCGAUGGUACGGAACUGGCAAUUUUGUUGAAAGGGCAAGGAAGCACUGGCGGUGGCAGCGGGGAUAAAUUUAAGAGAAGGGGGGUCACGGCAUGGGAGAAGGGGAGAGAUAAGGGGACAGGUGCAUGAAUCUUGAAGCAAAUACAAGUGCUUAGAAGAUACUACCUCUGCGCACUAAUAUAAGACGUUUUUGCAGUUCGAGGGAGUAGAAAUUCCAAAUCAUGCGGCGUACGUAUCUGCGUAUGUCAUUGGAUUGUACUGAAAACAAAGAGUCACAUGCAAGCUAGAUCUAACAAAUGACAGUUAGGACAUGGGACAGGUGACCUAGGAAUUAUCAGGUUUCUUAGGACAAGGCUUUUUGACAAGAAGUUACUUUUUUAAUACGUACUCCCUCUGUCCGGAAAUACUUGUCAUCAAAAUGGAUAAAAGGAGAUGUAUCAGGACGUAUUUUAGUUCUAGAUACAUCUCUUUUUAUCCAUUUUGAUGACAAGUAUUUCCGGACGGAGGGAGUAUAUGAUUUGUACCAGUCGUGAUUUAUACACCCUAGAUACUGUAAUGUGAGAAGUAUACAGAUAUACUAGCUCCUGGACAGCGGUACUGAGCUACGUGGGUUUAUUGGCGGCCAUGUUAGGGGUGUUCAUACAAAAUCGAAGUAUGUUGCUGGCGGGUUAUAUUUUGAUUAAAAACAUUGUGUCUUUCAGGAUUGUUUGGGAAGCUUUCAAAUAAUAAUCCAAAUUUUGGAGAAAUUUUAGAGGAA
This is an RNA transcript of Aegilops tauschii subsp. strangulata, 3055 nucleotides long. RefSeq lists it as uncharacterized. NCBI's taxonomy places the organism in Eukaryota, Viridiplantae, Streptophyta, Magnoliopsida, Poales, Poaceae. The record is from RefSeq and is a predicted model, not a curated record.